This 465-nucleotide ribosomal RNA is filed under the name uncultured bacterium. Its description in RNAcentral is "partial 16S ribosomal RNA". It matches the Rfam family "Bacterial small subunit ribosomal RNA", at positions 28 to 507 of the family's 1533-position model. The record is from RNAcentral.
GACGAACGCUGGCGGCGUGCUUAACACAUGCAAGUCGAACGGUAAGGCUCCAGCUUGCUGGGGUACACGAGUGGCGAACGGGUGAGUAACACGUGGGUGACCUGCCCUGCACUUCGGGAUAAGCCUGGGAAACUGGGUCUAAUACCGGAUAGGACCGCACCGUGAGGGUGUGGUGGAAAGUUUUUUCGGUGUGGGAUGGGCCCGCGGCCUAUCAGCUUGUUGGUGGGGUAAUGGCCUACCAAGGCGGCGACGGGUAGCCGGCCUGAGAGGGUGGACGGCCACAUUGGGACUGAGACGCGGCCCAGACUCCUACGGGAGGCAGCAGUGGGGAAUAUUGCACAAUGGGCGGAAGCCUGAUGCAGCGACGCCGCGUGGGGGAUGACGGCCUUCGGGUUGUAAACUCCUUUCACCAUCGACGAAGGGUUUCUGACGGUAGAUGGAGAAGAAGCACCGGCUAACUACGUG